CCUACGGGAGGCAGCAGUUGGGAAUCUUUCACAAUGGGCGAAAGCCUGAUGGAGCAACGUAGCGUGCAGGAUGAAGGCCCUCGGGUUGUAAACUGCUUUUAUAAGCGAGAAAUAUGAUGGUAACUUAUGAAUAAGGAUCGGCUAACUACGUGCCAGCAGCCGCGGUCAUACGUAGGAUCCGAGGAUUAUCCGGAGUGACUGGGUGUAAAGAGUUGCGUAGGUGGCAUAAUAAGUAGCUAGUGGAAUCUGGUGGCUCAACCAUUCAGACUAUUAGCUAUACUGUUAAGCUCGAGACCGUUAGAGGUAACUGGAAUUUCUGGUGUAGGAGUGAAAUGCGUAGAUAUUAGAAGGAACACCAAUAGCGUAGGCAGGUUGCUGGGACGGUUCUGACACUAAGGCACGAAAGCGUAGGGAGCAAACGGGAUUAGAUACCCGGGUAGUC
Molecule: ribosomal RNA, 442 nt
Filed under: uncultured bacterium
Lineage: Bacteria
Description: partial 16S ribosomal RNA
Rfam family: Bacterial small subunit ribosomal RNA
Source: RNAcentral